This 497-nucleotide ribosomal RNA is filed under the name uncultured bacterium. Its description in RNAcentral is "partial 16S ribosomal RNA". It matches the Rfam family "Bacterial small subunit ribosomal RNA", at positions 28 to 507 of the family's 1533-position model. The record is from RNAcentral.
GAUGAACGCUGGCGGCGUGCCUAAUACAUGCAAGUCGAGCGAACAGACGAGGAGCUUGCUCCUCUGACGUUAGCGGCGGACGGGUGAGUAACACGUGGAUAACCUACCUAUAAGACUGGGAUAACUUCGGGAAACCGGAGCUAAUACCGGAUAAUAUAUUGAACCGCAUGGUUCAAUAGUGAAAGACGGUUUUGCUGUCACUUAUAGAUGGAUCCGCGCCGCAUUAGCUAGUUGGUAAGGUAACGGCUUACCAAGGCAACGAUGCGUAGCCGACGUGUGAGGGGGAUAGGCCACAUUAGAACGGAGACACGGUCCUGACGACUGAGAGAGGCAGCAGUAGGGAAUCUGCCGCAAUGGGCGAAAGCCUGACGGAGCAACGCCACGUGAGUGAUGAAGGUCUUCGGAUCGUAAAACUCUGUUAUUAGGGAAAAACAAAUGUGUAAGUAACUAUGCACGUCUUGACGGUACCUAAUCAGAAAGCCACGGCUAACUACGUG